Long non-coding RNA from Plodia interpunctella (Indianmeal moth), 393 nucleotides. RefSeq lists it as uncharacterized. NCBI's taxonomy places the organism in Eukaryota, Metazoa, Arthropoda, Insecta, Lepidoptera, Pyralidae. The transcript has 3 exons. The record is from RefSeq and is a predicted model, not a curated record.
AUAAAUUCUAUUUACGUACAGAAAUAUCGAGGGAAUUGUAAUGAAGUUUGAGAUGUUAUAACCUACUUAAUUGUGAUAUACAUGAACCGGUCAAUGUGGAUACGGUAAUCAGAUCCAAUAAUUUCGGACCGCAGAAUGUGUACAAAAACCUGAGAAACGAAUCCAAGACCUCCAGAUAGCGAACGGGCAUAUAUUGUCACCACUACAUCACGGAGGUGGAUAUUUCGGACCGCGCUAAAUCCGUCUCUUGAAGUGGGUAGGUCGGGCAAAGAGCAGAUGAAAAACUUCCUUCUCUCUAUAAUUUUAAUGAUAUUUAAUUUUUUUUAAAAUGUUGAUUUAGGCUGUGUUUUCCAAUAUCUAAAUAUACAACAUGUCUACUUUAGUCGCUUUAAA